CAGAGGGGGCAAGCGUUAUUCGGAAUUAUUGGGCGUAAAGGGCGCGUAGGCGGCCUUGCAAGUGACGGGUGAAAUCCCUCGGCUUAACCGAGGAACUGCCUGUCAAACUGCAUGGCUUGAGACCAGGAGAGGUGAGUGGAAUUCCCAGUGUAGCGGUGAAAUGCGUAGAUAUUGGGAGGAACACCAGUGGCGAAGGCGGCUCACUGGACUGGUACUGACGCUGAGGCGCGAAAGCGUGGGGAGCAAACAGGAUUAGAUACCCUGGUAGUCCACGCCGUAAACGAUGAGUGCUUGGUGUAGCGGGUAUCGACCCCUGCUGUGCCGAAGUCAACACAUUAAGCACUCCGCCUGGGGAGUACGGUCGCAAGGCUG
Molecule: ribosomal RNA, 372 nt
Filed under: uncultured organism
Description: bacterial SSU rRNA
Rfam family: Bacterial small subunit ribosomal RNA
Source: RNAcentral